This 71-nucleotide transfer RNA is filed under the name Saurida umeyoshii. RNAcentral describes it as "tRNA-Trp". It matches the Rfam family "tRNA". Rfam says of the family: Transfer RNA (tRNA) molecules are approximately 80 nucleotides in length. Lineage: Eukaryota; Metazoa; Chordata; Actinopteri; Aulopiformes; Synodontidae. The record is from RNAcentral.
AGGGGCUUAGGAUAAGAACAAACCAAGGACCUUCAAAGCCCUAAAUGAGGGUGAAAACCCCUCAGCCCCUG